RNAcentral lists this ribosomal RNA (427 nucleotides) under uncultured bacterium. RNAcentral's name for it is "partial 16S ribosomal RNA". It matches the Rfam family "Bacterial small subunit ribosomal RNA", at positions 355 to 774 of the family's 1533-position model. The record is from RNAcentral.
UGGGGAAUUUUGGACAAUGGGCGCAAGCCUGAUCCAGCAAUGCCGCGUGCAGGAUGAAGGCCUUCGGGUUGUAAACUGCUUUUGUACGGAACGAAACGGCGAGCUCUAAUACAGUUUGCUAAUGACGGUACCGUAAGAAUAAGCACCGGCUAACUACGUGCCAGCAGCCGCGGUAAUACGUAGGGUGCAAGCGUUAAUCGGAAUUACUGGGCGUAAAGCGUGCGCAGGCGGUUAUGUAAGACAGAUGUGAAAUCCCCGGGCGUAACCUGGGAACUGCAUUUGUGACUGCAUAGCUAGAGUACGGUAGAGGGGGAUGGAAUUCCGCGUGUAGCAGUGAAAUGCGUAGAUAUGCGGAGGAACACCGAUGGCGAAGGCAAUCCCCUGGACCUGUACUGACGCUCAUGCACGAAAGCGUGGGGAGCAAACA